RNAcentral lists this long non-coding RNA (20992 nucleotides) under Ananas comosus (pineapple). RNAcentral's name for it is "long non-coding RNA (ACOM_LNC028743)". The record is from RNAcentral. Lineage: Eukaryota; Viridiplantae; Streptophyta; Magnoliopsida; Poales; Bromeliaceae.
GACGAACUCCGCGGGGGACGCGUGGUUCGACGUGUUCGCCUCCUUCCCCGCCGCCGCCCACCUCUCCCCCUUCCUCCCCGGCUCCCUCUUCGACGCCCUCUCCUUCCACCUCGACAAGGCCAUCGCCGAGCGACCGCCCCCGCACCUCUCCGACGCCGUCCUCUACAAGCAGGAGCUCACCAUCCUCGACANGCUCCACCUUCCUCUCCCGCAGCUUCUCCCUCGGCCCCUCCUUCCCACAAGGCCAUCGCCGAGCGACCGCCCCCGCACCUCUCCGACGCCGUCCUCUACAAGCAGGAGCUCACCAUCCUCGACACGCACAUCCACGACGACCGGCUCGUCGCCAUCCGCGAUCUCCUCGGCGAGAUCGGCGCGGCGACGCGGCUCGCCGGCGCCAGGUGCGGCGCGUGCCACACGCUGCACCGCAGGGAGUUGGACUUCCUGAGGUUGCCCUGCUCCCACGCCUUCCACACCCACUGCAUCUUCAAAGAGUUCCGGAGCGACAUCCGAUGCCCCACCUGUCGCUGGAGAUAUCGCUAGAACGAUGCUUGAAUUUCUCUUCUUAUUAGUAAGCAUAAGCCUGCCGCACCCUGGUUCUUCGUUUUAGGGUUUUGGUUGGAGAUGGCCCAAUUUUUCUCGAAUUCUAAAAACAAAGUUAAAGUUUAGAUUAUGCAUAAUCUUAUUAAGAUUAUUUCUGAUUUUAUUAACAUUGCAUUCCUACUUGUAUUAGCAUUUAGUGAUUAUCAUCAUAAAUAUUAUAUGUUUUAUUUCAUUAAUUUGGUGCGACAGAGAAAUAUAUUUUGUAGAGAACUUUGAUUGUACUAGAAAUCUCUGUUCUGUUUUCGUCUGUGGAGGUAGACCAGUGGCCGAUUUUCUUAUAUUUUCGUGUCCGACGAAUUAAAACCGUUUUACUUUUUUCAUAACAAAUUGGUAUGAGAACAAAUCUAGUAUUCAGCGUAAGUCGUGAAUUUCUAACACAUAUAUAUAUAUAUAUAUAUAUAUAUAUAUAUAUAUAUAUAUAUAUAUAUAUAUAUAUAUAUAUUUGCUUGCAUGAGGGAUAUAAGUUUUGGUGUUUGAAUUGAAGGUAAUUAAUGACUUGUUCAUGUUCUUUGAUUCUUUUGUCACUCUCUAUUGUCUCUGCGUUGCUUUCUAUCUGAUGUAAGUUUUUAGUGUGGUGAUGGUUGAUUGUUUAAUUUAAUGUUGAAAUUAUGGGGCUCAGACAAAUUUCUCCGGUGAGUGUUGGACAUGAUUUGCAACGAAUUAAUGUUCGAUGUAUGAAAGUCGGGUUUUACUUUGUUGGUUUUUUGCGGCGUUUGAUGAUGCCCCCCUUGUGUUGCCGUCGUGAUCGUCGCUUAAAAUGUGUUAGCUUUAUACUACAUGUUAUAAUCGUCGUCGACGACGACGAUCUACAUCUACGGGGGCAGGUUUGAGUUGGCAGAGAACUUGGAAACCACUCUAGCUUUACUCACCAUUGUUGAUUGCAAUUGUAUCAUUUGUGCAGACAAAAGAUUACGACGAGUCAAACAAUAAAAAUAAUAGUUUACUGUCGAAAACGACUUCACCUCUUUUCACUUUCACCCAAACAAACAAUGCAUCGACGCCAAUAUCCACAACGGGAAAGAAAAUCGAAGAAAGAGGAUAAGUAUAUACAAGCAAGCAUUAUAAUUGACACGACAAUAUUCACCAAUAAACUCGUAAAAAAAAUUCUCGGAAAAUGAUUUUUCAAGAACUAAUUAAACACCCAAAAGAGAGCUAACGAAAAUCUUUCACAUCAGCCUAAUUAAAUGGUUGCAGAACUCUUUAGGUGAGCAAAGUGUUUUCUACUGUUAAUCAUCAUAGAAAAGUUUGAGAAUAAGCUAAAUAAGCUGUAUUUGAAGGGCGUGCAUAAAAUUCUACAAAGCUCUGUAGAGGAGAAUCUCUAAUAAAGGUGCACGCAAAGUAUGAGACAUUUGCUUUCUCACUUGCUGGGACAAAGAGUAAUGCUAAUUGUGCACAGGAAGAUAAUUAAUUGUUCUUUUAAAUAGUAGAGAGAUAAGAGGACCGUGAGAGAGAGAGAGAGAGAGAGAGAGAGCACCCAAAGAUGAUUGUGUUUUAAGUAAUAGAGAGAGAAAGAGAGGAGCUGCUCUUGUUUUGUUUUAUUUGGGUAGAGUGGUCUUCCAAAGGUAACAUUUUCUUGUGUUUAAGGUGUUAGGCAGUNACGUGUGGAUUUUUUAUUGUUGAGAAUGCGUUAUCACUCCUUAACUUUGUUAUGUUGAAAUUGGCCCGAACAUUAUUUUUUUAAGCUAAAUCUUUGAAAUCAUUCCUAAACCGCUGUCUCAAUUAUCCCUGUAUAAUACUUAUGUUGAUUAUUUAUACACGAAAGAUAUUGAGAAAAAGGCUAAAUUGCUUUUUUUUUUGGCUCAUUAAUAGCAACUUUUAACUUUUAUAUAUCUUGAUUUUAAAUAUUCAUUUUAUAACUUUAAUUACUUGUUAGCUAAAAACCGCAGUUUUCGUUUAAAAUUAAUAACUAGUAGUUAAAAAACUGUUUAUUUUGAUACAAUUUAAUUCAAUUGAUUAAAAUAUUCAGAACAAAAUAUAUGAAAACUCGGAUAUUGCCCAUUAAAAAAAGAAAAAAAGAACCUUUGUAACUCUUUUCUUUUUUUUUUUGAGAAAUAGGUAGCAAGCUACCUGCUUCAUUCAUUAAGUCAAAUGAACUGAGCAUACAGAUUGGAAGCAGCUUAGGCCUCCGAGGAGCCGGCAAAAGGAGAAAAUUAAAAUAAAAGCAAAAAGGAAGAGAAAAGAAGGUCAAAGUCAUGUUCUUAAGUAAAACAAGCUUAAUUAAAAUCUAAAUAUAACUUUGAUUCUUGUAUUAACUUGUUAAUUAAUCUAAUUAAUAUAUUUAAGUCAUUAUUUAUUACUGAAAUGAUUAAGUAAUUAAUUAAUUUAUUAUUUAUAGUUAAUUAGUUUAUAAGAAUUAAUUAUUUAAUGUGUUUAUCUAAUAACUAACGUUUAUAUUGGUCAACUAGUUAAUAUUGUGGCAAUUAUAUUAAUUUCUUAACAAAUCAUCUAAUUAAUUAAAUAAUUUACAAAUUAAUUAAAAAAUUAAGUUAUAUUUUAUAAUUAAUUAAUAUUUUUUAAAUUAUCUUAUACAAUAUUCAUAGAUAAUAAUUUUUUAUUUUAUUAAAUUAAAUAAAAUUAUUUUUAAUUAAUACUUUAAUAUUAAUUAAUUAGAUAAAAUAUUAUAACUUUAAAAUUAUAAUUACUUUUAUUCUUGCUAUUACAAUCUAACUAUCCAAACAUUAUUUACCUUAUUUUCAAAAACAAUCCAAUUUUCAUUCAAACGAAAAAUUAGUCUUGCUACUACUUAUUUUCGAAAUUGUAUCGAUCUCAGGAAUAAGCAAUUUCUGCUUAUUCUUGAUCCAAACGAUUUAGAGAUUCAGUAAUUUUAGUUCUUAUAUUCAAUACUUUUAUUUAUAUUUGAACUCAAAAUAUUUUGAUACGGUCGAGGCGUGAACUUAAUUUAAAGAAGAGGAAACUAAAUAAGACUGCAAGUCUAACGAAACUCUAACUCAGGAUACUAUGCUUCGAUAUUAUAUUAAAUUAUGUAAAACAAUCGAAAAUUUAAAAAGUUUAAGUUAUCAUAUAACAAUGUUUUUAAUAUCAUAUCCAUAUUUAUAUUUAACAUGUUUGUAUGUAUUAUCGAUUGUUCUUAGCAAAAAUGGCAAAGGGCUUAGUGGUUGGUAUCCGAGAUCUCAAGUUCGAAUCCUUAUUUGAAUCCUUGUUGAUUCAAAUUUCCAACUAAGUUUAUUUUUAAAAAAAUAAACGAAGCGGAUAGCAUACUAUCUUUCUCUCUCAAAAAAAUAUAUUUAUGUGUGCGUGUUUUAUUUUUUGAAUAAAAAUUUAAAUACCAGAUGUCCCAAUUUUCAAACAUAAUUACUUUACAUUUCUAGCUAAAUUUAUUUCUGAAAUAAAUAGAAAAUAAAAAAAAAAGGAGAAUACUUAGCUUCUUCUACUUCAAAUUUUCGGAUUGAGGUGUUUGAGUUCUUUUGAAAUCAAGUGCUUUUAGUNGAAGGCUUAGCUGCUAGGUGUGGCAAUUUGCAGUAGAUCUCGUAAACUUUGUAGAUCUUUAAUUUAAAGUAUUAAAAAGCUGUAGUAAAUGGAAUGCUAAUUUUCGAGUGUUUUAACUGUUAAAAAUUGCCGACCAUACCUUAUGAACGAUCAAAUUGCCAUAUUUUCUUAAGCUUAUCCAACUUAAAAACUAUCUUUUAAGAUAAGUGAUAAAUCUAUUUCUAGUUAUUGAAACUAGAAUUUAACUUCCUAGAGUAGUAAGUAAAAAUUCUGUAGUAAGCUAAAACUGGCAAGUAAAAUACGGGCGAACUACCUGAAAUAAUACUAAAGCUUUUUAAUGCUUUAAAUAAAAGAUGUUCAAAGUUUAAGAUAUCUAAUAUAAAUUGCCUCACCUAGCAGUUAAGCCUUCGAGGUAGUAGCUUUUGUUGAAUACUCAUGCUUCCCGGGUUAUGAGUAUUAUCAUAACAUCGGGAUGAUAUAUAUAUAUAUAUAUAUAUAUAUAUAUAUAUACUCAACCUGACCCGAUGAUAAUCAUCGUUUUAGGGUAACAACGAUAGUCAAAAAAUCGGAAACCUAGUUGAGAAAAGUAAUAAAGUUUGGUAACCUAAUUUAUGAUAUUGGGUCACCUCUGGUGAGUUGGGAUCCCCCUGGUGAGUUGAAAUUGACUGAUUAUAAUAGAACUGGAAUGUUAAAAAGUAGGUUCUCAAUUUUUGAACUAUCGUUUUUCUCGCAAAAUGAUAAUUAUCAUAAGGAUUAUCGUGUCAUCGGGACGAUUAUAUAUAUAUAUAUAUAUAUAUAUACAUAUACAUAUAUAUAUAUAUACAUGUAUAUGUAUAUAUAUACAUGUAUAUGUAUAUAUAUAUAUAUAUAUGUAUAUGUAUAUACAUGUCUUUAAUGAAUUUCAUACUUGGUAAAACUUAGCCGAUUCGUUAGAAAAUUUAAAAAAAUAAAAUGACGGGUUGGAAAGUUAAACGGUCUAAACUCAAUCGGUUGCUAUAAAACUGAAAUUUUAAAUUAACGAAGCGAAUAAAAAUAAGAAUGUCUAAAUCUAUCAUAUAAAAUAUGCUAAGGGUGUUGAUGUUUAAGUCAUUUCAUUAACCGUAUUUAAAGUUUCAGUUUAUGAUAACUAACUAAGUCUAGUUUGUUUAACUUUUUAAUUUGUCAUUUUAUUUAUAAAAUUUCUAACCUAUUGACUAAGUUUUUAUCAGGUAUAUAUCAAUUCCGUUUAAGUCAUACAAAGUGGGGUUUUUCUUUAUUUAUUUAUUCUUCUAUUUUCCCUACUCUUGUUUUUAUUUCAUUAAAUAGAUCUGUUUUAAAAUGAAGAGGACGUUUGAUUGAGGGGUUUAUGGGGCACACGACAUUUUAUUACUUUAUUUUUUUUAUUAUCAGGUUGGUUUAUCUUUUUUUAAACCGGUAAGAUUUUAUCUAAGGAAUUGGGAAAACAAAAAAAAAAAAAAGACAAACCCCAAAAAUCUAAAUUUCCCGACAAAUUAAGGAACUCUUUCUCGGUUUAAACAAAAAGUUCUUUUUUAAAGAAAUACCUUUUGAGGAAAAAUUAUAAGGUAAGUAAACUAAGAUUCUUUUUGAUCGAAAAACUUAAAAAAAAAGUUUAAAAUAUUUUUUGAUCACAGAAAGAAAAGGAUUUUUCUAAGUUUUUUGCUUUUUGUGAUCAAAAAACAGUUUAAACCUAAAAAAAAAUUUUUUUCGAUCAAAAAGAAUCUUGGUUUACCUAUUUUUUUUUGAAUUUUGAUCCAAAAGGUAUUUUUUUUUGGAAAAAGUGUUUUUUAAAAUAAGGUAUGAAAAGGGAUCUUGGUUUGUUGAAGAUUAACGUUAUUAUACAAAUAGUUUAAAUAAGUAACAUAAUUAACAAUUAUACAAAUCAAAACAAAAGAUUUUCUAACUAAAUUUAAUAAUUAAAUGAUUUAAGUAGUUAGGAAACUACUCUAUCAUCGAAAACAACUUAUGAGUACGAGGGCGAUCGUACUCAUAAUAGUAUAGUAGCCGAACUCUCUCUCUCUCUCUCUCUCUCUAUAUAUAUAUAUAUAUAUAGAGAGAGAGAGAGAGAGAGAGAGUUUUGCUAUAAUACUAUCGGUAGUAAACGGAGCCGUUUACUACCGAUUUGUUUUCGAUGAUAGAGCUUCCAAAUUGAUGAUCGGCACCGUUAAAUAUGAUCUAAACUAUUUAAACUAUCUAAAAAUCAAACUUUACACAUUUUCAAUAUUAUUCUCUUGUCCAUCAAGUGAACAGAAAAAUGAAUGGCUGAAAAUGAAUAUCCUUCAAAAAGUGAUGAUACAAUUUUUUAUAUUUGAGAUCUAAAGUCUAUAUCUUAUUUUUAAUAGUUUAAAGAAUUUUUUAAUAAAAAUUUAGUUGAUUUGAACUCUUCUAUACCGUUAAACGAGCAAAUGCACCAUAUCGACCAUUAAAAUUAUAUAUUUUGUGACAUUUUGAUCGUUCAGUUAGUGAUGCCAAAAAAUCAUGAAAUUUGAUUUCUAUAUAAUUUAAAUAGUCUAGAUCAUAUUCAACGGUAUCAAUCGUCGAUUUGGAAGCUCUAUCAUCGAAAAUAAAUUGAUAGUAAACCGAGCAGUUUACUACCGAUAGUAUUCUAGCAAAACUCUAUAUAUAUAUAUAUAUAGAACUAGGCUAGAAUACUAUCAAUAGCACCAAGCUAUUAGUGCUAUUGAUUUUUUAGCUCUUGGAUUGAGAAAUGGAUGGUUAGGAUGAUGUGGGCCCCCUAGGGUUGAGUGAGUGGUUAGUUAAAUAGUAUAAUCUAAUAGGUAAAAAUAAUCAAAGGAUUAAAUCUAAUUGUGGAAAACUCGAUAGCAUCAAAUCCUUGAUGCUAUCGAUAGUACCCAGUCGGACUAUAUAUAUAUAUAUAUAUAUAGAGAGAGAGAGAGAGAGAGAGAGAGAGAGAGAGUCCAGCUACUAUGCUAUUAAUAGCACGAAGCACUUGGUGCUACCAAGUUUUCCGCCGUUCGAUAUACCCUUUUGAUCAUUUUCACCCGUUAGAUCAUACUAUUAAACCAACAUCACUCAACCCUAGGGGGCCCACAUCACCUACGCAGAUCUCUUAAUCAAUGGCCAAAAACUUGGUGCCGAUGAUUGGUGCUAUUAAUAGCUAGUGCCUUGUUAUAUAUAGUAUACUAAUUAUAUAUAUAUAAUUAUAUAUAUUAUAUAUUAUAUAUAUAUAUAUAUAUAUAAUAUAGUUGUACUAUUAUAAUCUCAAAGACUACUAUGAAGGUGGUAUACUUAAUUUUAGAGUAUACUUAGUAUGACUUUUAGAAGUUAUUCCCCUAUGGUGCUAAUCUAGGUUUUUAGCCAUUGGAUCUACUCAUGAUGAACUAAUAGUCCUUGGAUCAAACCUAUUCCACCUACACCACUAUCAUCAUCUCAAUCUCACAUCUCUUCAUCCAAUGGCUAAAAACUCAAAUGCACCCCCUCCAUGGUGCUUUUGAGAGAAUUCUAGCUCAACUCUAUAUAUAUAUAUAUUAAAAGGUUAAUAAAUUGCACCAUUAAUUCGUCGCCAAUUUUUACUAGCCAGGUUUUCAAAUUGCAGCAUAUAUAAGAAUGGACGCCGGAGAGGGGGGGAUGGCUAGCCGAGAUCAAGAGCAUCGAAUUUCUAUUCCUGAUCAUAAUAAUAAUGCUGGUGGAUCUGGUGUCAGUGUCGGCCCCGGAUUCAUUAAUGAGGAGUACCUGAGUAGUCUUCCUAGCGAUCCACCGGAUGCGGACGAGGAGUGGAUUAGAGAGAUGGAGGACAAAAUUGAUCGUGCAUUCAAAGAUUCGACAUUACUACCGGCCUGGUAUUUUAAGAAAGAAACAAAACCUAAGAUUUGCAAGCUGCCGCUGCGUGACAGGAUCUCUCAGCCAGGGUCGGAGACAGAAGGGGGGCUUUCUCAGCCAAGCGUGGUGGGAAUAGGGCCAUUUCAUCAUCAGCUCCAUCGGCAGGAUAAGAUAAGUAUUUCCGACAAGGAAAAAUUUUUGAUUGUGGGCCUCAUGAAUUCUUUGUGUGGUCUCGACUUGGCGAGCUGCCUUGUAAAGAUAAAAAAUCAAGUAGCAAAUGCUCGCAACAGCUACAAGUUAGAUGUAUCUGAUCAAAGCUCCAGUUUUAAAGAUGACAAAAGUUUCGCAGAGAUGCUGCUGCUUGAUAGCUACUUCAUCUUGUUUAUGUUGACCAUUAAGUUACGUAAAGGACUGGCACGUUACACAUUGACGCCGCCAACACCUAAUAAGUUUACAGACCCGCUUGCGUUGUCUCAAGACGACCCGUCUAAAUUUCUCGACAUCAUAUUCAACAAAGAUGAGAUCGCACUUGAUCUACUGAUCUUUGAUAACCAAGUCCCUUUCUUUGUGAUCGAGGAGCUAUUUAAGGAGCUCGAGUUGGAGAAGCCCCUCCAUGAGUGCGCCCUCGAGUUCUUCGAGACAAUCCAUCCGAGGUCCGCCCGACAUUGCAUGGACAAGAGUAUUAGUCCUCCCGAAUUCCUACAUCUACUCGAUCUUUUCCACUGGUCUCGGGUCCCACAGAACAAGUACAGCUUGCCUGAUCAACGGCAAGAUUCUAUGUACUGGGGACGCGACACUCCGAAUGCGAGGGAACUUACAGAAUCCGCAACAAUGUUUGAAAAGAAGACGAACGGCAGCUCACUAGAUUUCACAUUUCGGAGACAUUGGUUUAGAUGCAUUAUUGGGGUGUUCGACAUCCCAGAGCUACACAUCUGCAACUAUAGCAGCCUCAUCUUCCAUAACCUCAUCACCUUCGAGAUACAAUCCUCAAGCCGGGGCCGCUGCACCAUGGCCUUUUCUGCACUUAUGCGCAACUUGCUGCAAAGAGAGGAAGAUGUGAAGCUGCUUCGGCAAAGAGGCAUUUUGGCGAGCUCGUCCAUGGCCGACAGACAACUCAUUGAUCUCUUUGCGCGCUUGAGCAGAUUGACUGAAAACCAUCAAAUGCCAAAUGAUCUGUUUAACAUAUGCCAGCAGGUCCGUUCUCACCACGACAACCCAGUGAAUCAGUUCUGCGGCAGCAUCAUUAUCCGAUACUUCCCCAGCCCACUGGUCACUCUUACCGUUUUUGGUGCAAUCUUGCUUUUUAUUCCCACCCUCUUGCAGACCAUAUAUGCUAUGCUAUGAUCAGUUACUACCAUGGUUGAAUGCUCUACAUGUUUUUUUUGAGAAUUAAAAAAAUGCUCUACAUGUUAUUAUCUACAAUGAUAAUAAUUUGCUGAAAUAAAAUAUGUAUUGUACUACCAAAUCGGCUGUUGUUAUAUUAAUUUACAUGUAACAUUCCCUGUACGUUGCUACCUAGUUUGGUGUUCUUGCUUGUUAUUAAUGCAAGGGAGCUUUUUACGUGUGUGUAUAUAUAUAUAUAUGAAUUUUCUUCACACAAGUGAUUCUGGAGUACUCGAAGAGUAUAUUUAAUUUGCAUGCACCAUCAAAUAAUAUAUUUCAAAUUUCUUUAUUCUACGAUGAAAAGAGCAAAAAUAGACAUAAUUUCUUUAUUCGAAGUUAUCUUUAAUGCUAAUGAUCUCUCUUAGCCCAUGACAUCAAGUUUCUCUUAUUAAGCUGCUCCUAAGCUGGAAAACAACAAAAAGCCAAAAAUAAAAACAAAAAUAAGUAAAUAAAAUAAACGCAACUAGCUAGUGACUCAAUAUAAUUAAAAUAUAAUAUAACCAUUUCAUUUUUCUGCACCAUUACCAAACAUCAAAUUUCCCUCUCUCUCUCUCUCUCUCUCUCUCUCUCUCUCUCUCUAAGAAAAAAUGCCUUUUGUGUUCAUCAAGUAAUAAUCGCCUAAAAUUGCGACUUAGUCCCUACAGCAACAACAUAUUGCAAUUCGCUCCAUACAACGAUUCGAACGUCCUAAUCCGAGUCUAAUUCCUCUCUAUAUAUACUCUUUAGGAAUAAUUUCAUAGAUGCCCUUCUAGAAACUAUUAAUUUUAUCAAUACCCUUCUAAAAUUGAUAAUAUCACAAAUACCCUCCAAUAUGUUAAAAAUUAUCAUAAAUACCCUUCAUUAGUUAAAAUCCGUUAAGACAUGAAUGAAACGAAGUUAAAUUUUCAAAAUACCAUUUUUACUCUUUAUCUCUUAUUAAUAGUAGAAAUACUAAGAGGUAUUUCAAGAUAUUUUUUGUAAAUUUAAAUUUAAGUAUUUAAUAUAUAUAUAUAUUAAAUUAAAUUAUUAAUAUAUAUUAAUUAUUAAAAAAAUAUAAAAAUUAUAUUUUAUAUAUAGUAUGUUUUUAUCUGAUUUUGAUUUUGUUUUUUGGUUUCGGAUCUCGGUUCAGCUUCAGUUUAAAUAUAGACCAAACGUAUAAUUGAAUUUAAAUAUGGAUAAUUCUUGAACAUUUUUUUUCAUUUAAAUUUUUAUAUAUAAUUAUUUAUUCGAUAAAAUAUAAAUAGAGCCACUAGAUUUGAUAAAAUUAUCAAAAAAUUAAAAAAUUCUCAUUUUUUUAUACACCGAAAUUAGUUAAUUUUUUAAAAAAUAAAAGUUAAUGGCACAUGACCUAAAAAAAUGAAAAUUGAGGGAGCUGUUUCAAAAUGGCAUAUAGUUGAGGGGGUCUCCAUACAUUUUUAAUUAAGAGAAACUUAAGGAUAAAUAAGUCAUUUUGAAAUUUAACUCAGCUUUAACCAUUUAAUAACUAUGAUAAAGCUAACAUAACUAACAGUAGGGAUAUUGAUGAUAAUUUUCUGUAUUUACAGGAAUAUAGGUGAUAUUUUAAACUUUAUAAGGGUAUCUGUGAUAUUUAAGACUUUGGAAGGGGUAUCCAUGAAAUUGCCCCUACUCUUUAUACCUUCUCUCUUCGUCCUCGCGAGCGCGAUUAUCUCCAACUCUCUCUCUCUCCUCUAGGGAUUCGAUCCACUUCUUCUCUCCUCUAGGGUUUCGACUCCUCUAGAGUUUCGAUCCGAUCCUUCUCCAUGGCCGAAGCCGAAGCGACGGCGGAGGAGUUGAAGGAGAGGGGGCCUCGCCAUUACCAGCAAGACUAGGGUUGGGUACGUCCCCACCCCCACACCCUCCUCCUCCUCCACCGUUGUCAUCGAGAGGGUUCGCCAGUACGUCACGACGAUCAACGGCACUUCCACCCUCGACCGUCGCGGCCCCGUCGAAACCCUAGGCUCCUCCUCCUCCUGCGACGCCGCCGCGCUCCUCGCGGCCUCGCGCGCCUCCGACUAUAUGACGAGCUCCGCGGGGGACGCGUGGUUCGACGUCGUCGCCUCCUUCCCCGCCGCCGCCCACCUCGCCCCCUUCCUCCCCGGCUCCCUCCUCGACGCCCUCUCCUUCGACCUCGACGAGGCCAUCGCCAAGCUACCGCCACCGCACCUCCCCGACACCGUCCUCUACAAGCAGGAGCUCACCAUCCUCGACACGCACAUCCACGACGACCGGCUCCUCGCCAUCCGCGAUCUCCUCGACGAGAUCGGCGCGGCGACGCGGCUCGCCGGCGCCAGGUGCGACGCGUGCCACACGCUGCACCGCAGAGAGUUGGAUUUCCUGAGGCUGCCCUGCUCCCACGCCUUCCACAACCACUGCAUCUUCGAAGCGUUCCGGAGCGACACCCGAUGCCCCACCUGUCGCCGGAGAUUUCGCCGGAACGAUGCUUGAAUUUCUCUUCUUAUUUGUAAGCACAAGUCUCCCCCCUGGUCCUCCUUUUUUUUUUGGGGGGUUUUAAUUGGAGAUGACCCAAUUUUUCUCGAAUUCUGGAACCAAAACAUAAGGUUUUUUUAAUUCUAUAAAGUUAAGUUUUGAUUAUGCAUAAUCUUAUUAAGAUUAUUUUUAAUUUUUUUUUUUUUUUUUAAGAGAAGAUAAUACGCUAUCUGCUUCAUUCAUUGAAUGUAUGGACUAGGCUACAAGGGUAAGGCAACCAAGGCCCCGAGAAAGAAACAGAAAAGACACGAAAGCAAAGCGCAUUCAAAAAAAAAAAAAAAAAAAAAAAAAAAAAAAAAAAAAAAAAACAGUUUCACCUAAGUACGGAUGUGAGUAUCCCAGGAUUUCUAGUUUUAUUAACAUUGCAUUUCUACUUGUAUUAGCAUGUAUUGACUAUCAUAAAUAUUAUAUUUUAUUUUAUUAAUUUGGUGGGGUAGGAAUUUAUAGGAGAAAUAAAUUUUGCACAGCACUUUGAUUGUACUAGAAAUCUCUAUUCUGUUUUCCUGCAUGGAUGUAGAUUUUUUUAUAUUUUUGUGCCCGACGAAUUAAAACUUUUUUACUUUUUUCAUAACAAAUUGGUAUGAUAACAAAUCUGGUAUUUAGUGUAAAUCGCGAAUUUCUAACGCAUAGAUAUUUGCUUGCAUGAGGGAUGUAAGUUUCGGUGUUUGAAUUGAAGGUAAGUAAUGACUUCUUCUUGUUCUUUGAAUCUUUAUCACUCACUACUGUUUCUGCAUUGCUUUUUAUCUAGUAAAGUUGUUAGUGUGGUGAUGGUUGAUUGUUUAAUUCAAUGUUGAAAUUAUGGAACUCGACGAAUUUCUCCGGUGAGUGUUGGAUAUAAUUUGCAACAAAUUAAUGUUCGAUGUAUGAAUGUCGGGUUUUGCUUUGUUGGUUUUUGCGGAGCUUGACGAUGCCCCCUGUGUUGCCGUCGUGAUCGUCGCUUUAAAUGUGUUAGCUUUGUACAUGUUAUAAGUGAUCAGGACGACGGCGACGACGACGAUCUACAUGGGCAGGUUUGGGUUGGCAGAGAACCUGGAAACCACUCUAGCUUUACUCGCCAUUGUUGAUUGCAAUUAGCACGCUACCCGCUUCGUUUAUUUUAUUUAGAAAUAAACUUAGCUGAAAAUGUGAAUCAAUUAGGAUUCGAACUUGGGUCUCGGGUACCAACCAUCAAGCCCUUUGCCACUUGCUCUAGGGACGGUAGGUUUUACUCGCCAUUGUUGAUCGCCAUUGUUGAUUGCAAUUGUAUCAUUUGUACAGACAAAAGAUUACAUAUUUGGACUAGAAUUUACCCGUUCAAAGAGAUUUGGACAAGAAUAUUUUAAUUUCACUUUCAGUUUGGAUGAAAUUUGCUUACAAUUUUGCAGAUCUUGGUCUCAAAGAGAGCACUGAAAACAACAAACAAGGGUUACAAAGCCCCAUGCCCUCUUUCUUUGUCCCUUCAACACAUUUUAUGUUAGGGCUGUAGUGUGGAAAAUGAUUGAUUAGGGGUUUCAAAUUUGUGAUUUUGGGUCAUUUACUAAGUGAGUUGGUAUUUGUUGUCUAACAUCUUGAGUAUUAUUACACAUUGUAUUAUUCUUUUUCUCAUCUUUUUUCCAUCAUAAUUGACUUCGGCCAAAGGCAAGUCCAGAGUUGUUAUUACUAUUUUGAAUAACUUGAGAUUCAACUAUAUCUUUAUUAUGACGAAUUAAACAACAAAAAUAAUAGUUUACUGUCGAAAAUGAUUUCACCUCUUUUCACUUUCACCUAAACAAACAGUACAUCGACGCCAAUAUCGACAACAAAAAAAAAAUCAAAGAAAAAGGACAAGUAUAUAUACAAGCAAGCAUUAUAAUUGACAUGACAAUAUUCACUAAUAGAAAUAAAACGAAGCAGGUAGCGUGCUAUCUAUUUCUCAAAAAAAAAAAAAAAAUCACCAAUAAACUCAUAAAAAAAAAUUCUUGAAAAAUGAUUUUUCAAGAACUAAUCAAACACCCAAAAGAGAACUAACAAAAAACCUUUCACAUCAGCCUAGUUAAAUUAAUUGUUGCAAAACUCCUUAGGUGAGCAAAGUGUUUUCUACUGUUAACCAUCAUAGAAAAAUUUGAGAAUAAGCUAAAUGAGCUGUAUUUGAAGGGCAUGCAUAAAAUUCUACCAAGCUCUGUAGAGGAGAAUCUCUAUGGUGCACGCAAAGUAUGAGACAUUUGCUUUCUCACUUGCUGGGACAAAGAGCAAUGCCAAUUGUGCGCAGGAAGAUAAUUUUUCUUUUAUUAAAUAGUAGAGAGAUAGAGCAUGCACCCAAAGGCCAAAGAAAAUUGUUUUUUUUAAUAUGAGUGAGAUAGAGAGAGAGAGAGAGAGAGAGAGGAGCUGCUCUUAUUUUAUUUGGGUGGAGUGGUCUUUCAGGAGUACAAUCGUCGUUACGGUGGCUCGAGAUGGAAAUGUAUUCUUAGGAACAAGUUAUCGGUAAAUUAUGUUUGUUGUUGUUGAUGCUAAUACUAAUUGGUCAUUGUGUAUAGGCCACAACAUAUAUUUUGAGUUCAUAGAAAUUUUGUCAUUGAAAGUUUUACUUUGAUUUCAAUUUCGUCUGUGGACGUAGACAGGUGCCCGUUUUGGUUUUUUAUAUUUUUGCGCCCGAUAAAUUAAAUCUUUUCUACUUUUGUUAUAAUAAAUUGGUAUGAGAACAAAUUUGAUAUUCAGUGUGAGUCACGAAUUUCUAACACGUACACACAUAUAUAUAAAUUAUGCUUUAUACUAUUAAUAGCAGCAAGCGCAUGCUGCUAUUCAGUUUGGUGCUAUCGAGUUUUCGACUGUUGGAUGAAAGGAUGUGCAAUUAGGAUGAUAGUGGUAUUCUAAGGUUGAGUAGAUGGUUGAUUAAAUAGUAUAAUCUCAAGGAUAAAAAUAAUCAAAUAGUAGAGCUAACGAUAGAAAACUCAAUAGUACCAAGAGUUUGGUACUAUCGAUAAUAUGAUAGUCAAACUCUCUCUCUCUCUCUCUCUCUCUCUAUAUAUAUAUAUAUAUAUAUGGGGGAUAUAAGUUUUGGUGUUCGAAUUGAAGCUAAUUUAUGACUUGUUCUUGUUUUUUGAUUCUUUGUCACUCUCAAUUGUUUCUGCAUUGCUUUUUAUCUACUAAAGUUGUUAGUGUGGUGAUGGUUGAUUGCUUAGUUUAACGUAUGCGAUUUCAUUGAGUAAUGUGGAAAUUAUGGGCCUGGACAAAAUUCUCUGCUAAAAAUUUAUUAGUGUUGGAUAUGAUUUGCAACGAAUUAAUGUUCGAUGUAUGAACAUCGGGUACGUCGGUUUUACUUUGUUGGUUUUUGUGGAGCUUGAUGAUGCCCCCUGUGUUACUGUCGUGAUCGUCCCUUGAAAUGUGAUAGCUUUGUACAUGUUAUAACUUCAAAGAGAUUUGGAUAAGAAUUGUAAUUUCACUUUCAGUUUGGAUGAGAUUUGCUUAGAAUUUUGCAGAUCUUGGUCUCAAAAAGAGCACUGAAAACAACAAACAAGGGUUAUAAAGCCCCAUGCCCUCUUUCUUUGUCCCUUCAACACAUUUUCUCUAAGGGCUGUACUGUGGAAGAUGAUUGAUUAGGGGUUUUAAAUUUGUGAUUUUUGGUCACUUACUAAGUGAGGUGGUAUUUGUUGUCUAACAUUUGAGUACUAUUACCCAUUGUACUAUUCUAUUAUUCUUUUCUUCAUCUUUUUUCAUCAUAAUUAAUUCGGCCAAAGGCGAGCUGAGAGUUGUUACACUAUUUUGGAUAACUCGAGAUUCAGUUACAUCUUUAUUACGACGAGUCAAACAAUAAAAAUAAUAGCUUACUGUCAAAAGCGACUUCACCUCUUUUCACUCUCACCCAAACAAACAGUGCAUCGACGUCAAUAUCAACAACAGAAAGAAAAUCAAAGAAAGAGGAUAAGUAUAUACAAGCAAGCAUUAUACUUGACAUGACAAUAUUCACCAAUAAACUCAGAAAAAAAAAUAUUCUUGGAAAAUGAUUUUUCAAGAACUAAUUAAACACCCAAAAGAGAACUAACAAAAAAACCUUUCACAUCAGCCUAAUUAAAUUAAUUGUUGCAAAACUCGUUAGGUGAGCAAAGUGUUUUCUACUGUAAAUCAUCAUAGAAAAGUUUGAGAACAAGCCAAAUUAGCUGUAUUCGAAGGGUAAGCAUAAAAUUCUACCAAGCUCUGUAGAGGAGAAUCUCUACGGUGCACGCAAAGUAUGAGACAUUUGCUUUCUCACUUGCUGGGACAAAGAGCAAUGCUAAUUGUGCACAGGAAGAUAGUUUUUCUUUUAAAUAGUAGAGAGAUAGAGGACAGAGAGAGAGAGCACCCAAAGAUGAUUGUGUUUUAAGUAAUAGAGAGAGAAAGAGAGGAGCUGCUCUUGUUUUGUUUUAUUUGGGUAGAGUGGUCUUCCAAAGGUAACAUUUUCUUGUGUUUAAGGUGUUAGGCAGUGUUUGAUUCGCGUACAAAAAAAAAUAUAUAUGUUUUUCUAAAAAAAAAUUUAAAAAAUGUAAAAAAAAAAAAAAAAAAAAAAGGGGAAACUUUAAAUACACCUGUGGUUUCGUACUUUCUUACUAUAGUACCUGUGGUUUAACGUAUAUCAAGUUAGUACCUUCUGGUUUCGCACUUUCUCACUUUACUAUCCUGUGGUUUCAAGUGUAUCAUGUUAGUAUCAUGUGGUUUCGCAAUUUCUCACUUUAGUACUCUGUUGUUUAAUAUUCUAGCUCAACUCUCUCUCUCUCUCUAUAUAUAUAUAUAAAGUCUGGCUACUAUACUCUUAUGAGUAUGAUCUCCUUUGUACUCAUAAAUUGAUUUUCGAUGAUAGAGCUUUCGAAUAUAUAGAACUAGACUGAAAUGCUAUCAAUAGCACCAAAUUGUUGGUGCUAUUAGUUUUCGGCUCUUGGACGAAGAAAUGUACCGUUAUAAUGAUAUAAACCUGCUAGGGUUGAGUGAGUUGUUGGUUGAAUAGUAUAAUCUAAUGGGUGAAAAUAGUCAAAGAAUUAAAUCUAAUAGCGGAAAACUAGAUAGCAUCAAGUGCUUAGUGUUAUCGAUAGUAUUCCAGCCGGAAUAUAUAUAUAUAUAUAUAUAUAUAUAUAUAUAUAUAUAUAUUAAAAGGUUAAUUGCACCAUUAAUUCAUCACCAAUUUUUAGUUGGUUUUCAAAUUGCAGCAUGCACAUAUAAGAAUGGAUGGAUGCCGGAGAAGGUGGGGAUGCAUGGCUAGCCCAGAAGAGCAUCUAAUUUAUAUUGCCGAUGCUGCUGCCAGCAGAUCUGGAUCUGGUGAAAGCGUCGGCACCAGAUCCGAUGAGGAGGAGGAUGGUAGUCUUCCUAGCAAACCUCAUGGGGAUGAGGAGUGGAUCAGAGAGGUGGAGAACAAAAUGUGCCGCGCACUCUUGGAUUCGAUGUUGUGGCCCUUCCAGUCCCCAGAUGAAAGAGAAACCACGAUUUGCAAGUUUACGCUGGGUAAGGAGAUCUCUCGGCCAAGGUUCGCGACGAUCGGGGAGUUCUCUCAGCCCAGAGUGGUGACAAUAGGGCCAUUUCAUCGGCAGGAGAGCACGAGUAUUUCCGACGACCAGAAAUGGGUGAUUGUGUGCUUCAUGAAUUUAUUGUGCGGUCUCGACUUGGCGCGCUGCCUCGUAAAGAUGAAAGAGGAAGCAAAAAAAGCUCGCAACAGCUACUCCGAUUUAGAUAUAUCGCAAAGCUCCGGCCCUAAAGACUACACAAGUUUCACAGAGAUGCUGCUCCUCGAUAGCUACUUCAUCUUGUUUAUCCUGACCGUUAAGAUACGCAAAAGACCGGCAGGUUAUACACUGAUGCCGCCAACACCUGAUUCUGCAAACCCACUCAAGUUGUUUCGCGACGACGCGACUAAAUUUCUCGACAUCAUAUUCAACAAAGACGAGAUCGCGCUCGAUCUACUGAUCCUUGAUAACCAAAUCCCCUUCUUCGUGAUCGAGGAGCUAUUUAAGGAGCUCAAGUUGGAUAAGCCCCUCCUCGAGUACGCCCUCGAGUUCUUCGAGAUGAUCCAUCCGAGGUCUGCCCGACAUUUCAUAGACGAGAAUAUUAGUCCUCCCAAAUUCCUACAUCUGCUCGAUCUUUUCCACUGGUCUCGGGUCCCGCAGAACAAGUACAUCGAACCAAUUAUUAGUUCGUCUUCUAAACAGCUAGAUUCUAUAUACUGGGCACCCUAUACUCCGAAUGCGAUGGAACUCAGAGAAUCCGCAACAAUGUUCGAAAAGAAGACGUCCGGCAGCAGCUCGCUAGAUAUCACAUUUCGGAGGCGUUGGUUUAAACACAUUAUUGGGGUGCUCGACAUCCCGGAGCUACACAUCCGCGACUAUAGCAGCUUCAUCUUCCAUAACCUCAUCGCCUUCGAGAUGCAAUCUUCAAGCCGGGGCCGCUGCACCGUGGCCUUUUCUGCACUUAUGCGCAACUUUCUGCAAAGAGAGGAAGAUGUGAAGCUGCUUCGGCAGAGAGGCAUCUUGGUGAGCUCGUCCAUGACCGACAGACAACUCAUCGAUCUCUUCGCGCGCUUGAGCAGAUUGACUGAAAACCAUCAAAUGCCGAGCGAUCUGUUUAACAUAUGCCAUCAGGUCCUAUCUCACCACAACCACCCAGUGAAUCAGUUCUGCGGCAGCGUCAUUAUCCGGUACUUCCCCAGCCCACUGGUGACUCUUUCUGUAUCUGCCGCCGCCGUGCUUUUUGUUCUCAGCCUCUUGCAAACCAUAUAUGCUAUGAUCAGUUACCACCACCUUGGGUGAAUGCUCUACCUACACGUUGUAUUACCUAGUAUGAUAGUACUGCAUGCAUAUGUUACUGAAGUAAAACACGGAUUGUAUUUCCAAAUUCCAAUUGGGUUUGGGUGGGUAUGUAUUUACAUCUAACUUCCUCUCCUCUGUAAGUUGCUGCCUAGUUUAAUUGGUGUUCUUACUCGUUAUUAAUGCAAUGAUUUUUUAUUUAUAUGAAUUUUCUCACAAUCUCUUAUUCAAUCUCCUAAUUAAGCAAAUGUCAAGAAAAUGACGAUGGAACAUGUAAUUAAAUAGAUUAAUUGCAAUCCCAAGUAAAACCCGUAAAACCCGUUGUUAAGAAUAGUAUUUCAGGGACGAAGCGAGAAAUUAAGAUUCGGAGGGGCCAAGAUUUUAAAUUUGAUAGGAAAAAAAAUUGGACCUUAGAUAAUAAGAAAACAAAUUUGUGAGAUUCACUAAUCAGUUAUUACUAGAAAUAAUAAUGACAAUAUGUUCAAAGAGGAACAAGACUAAGAGUUGGAAAAAAAAAAAAAACCAAGAAAUUUGAAAAAAAAAAAACACAAAUUUAUUAAAAAAAUUAAUUUGGCCCCGUAAAAUUAAAUUUUAUAAUAUUUUAAUUUUUAUUACAAAGGACUUUUAUAUAAUUUUAAAAAAGUUUGAGGGGUCAUGACUACUGUGACCUCAAUCGGCCCGCCCCUGGUAUUUGAAGCACUUUUUUUUUUUUAAGAGAGAUAGAUAACAUGAUAUUCGUUUUGUUUAUUUUAUUUAGAAAUAAAUUUAGCUAAAAAUAUGAAUCAACUAGGAUUCAAAUUCGGGAUCUCGAAUACUAACCAUCAAAUCCUUGACCACUUACACUAGAAACGGUCGGUGUAUUUGAAGCACUUAACAAUACCAAAUAUAACCUAUUAGAUAUCAAGCUGGUCAACAGAUCAAUGCAACUAGUGACUCAACAUAAUUAAAAUCUAAUAUAACCAUUUCAUUUUCCGCAACAUUAAGAAACAUCAAAUUUCUCUCUCUCAAAAAAAAAAAAAAAAUCAAAUGAAGAAAAAGAUAAACUUUAGCCUACCUCCAGUUAGGGAUGUCAAUGGGUAUGCAUAUCCAAAAUAUUAUUCGAACCCGAAUUCGAACGGGACGGGUUUGCCCGAGCUAAACGGGUAUGAAUUCAGUUAUGAAUAUAGAAAGUAAAACCCGACGGAUAUGAAUACGGAUAUGGAUUUUGUAUUUACCCGACCUGAACCCGAAUAAAUUAUAUAUAUACAUACUUUAUUUUUAUUUAUUUAUAUAAAAUAUAAAAUAUUUAAUAAUUUUUAUCUCUUAGAUCUUCAUUCAACGGUAUGGAUAUUUAAAACCCGCCGGGUCCGGAUCCGGGAUUGAAUUUCGGAUUUUUUGUCGGGUACGGAUAUAGCUAUGGAUUUUUAAAAUCCGCCCGCUUCGAAUUCGGAAACGAGUUUUAAUUUGGUUUUCGGGUUCGGAUUCGAAUUUUUAAAAAUCCAAUCCAAACCCGACCCUGUUGACAUCCCUACUUCCAGUUAAACUUUACUAUUCGAUAAUUUUAUUUUUAUAAAUAGCAAAGUGCAAACUUUUACAUUACAUAUCAUAAACUAAUAAACAUGUGAUACUAUUAACUAAUUUACGUUUAGAUACAUCACCCAUUUAAAAUUUUCUAAACCGUUGAAGAUGGCACCAAAAUAAAGGAAAACUAUUUUUUUUAAAAAAAAAAACUAAAUAUGAAGUUAAUUAAUAAUAAAAUAAAAUGCUUUUUGUGUUCAUCAAGUAAUACUCGUCUAAAAUUGCUACUUAGUCCCUACAGCAACAACAUAUUGCAAUUCGCUCCCCACAACGAUUCGAACGUUCUAAUCCGAGUCUAAUUCCUCUUUACUCUUUCCUAUAUAUAUAUACUCUUUAUUAUUACCUCCUCUCUUCGUCCUCGCGAGCGCGAUCAUCUCCAACGCUCUCUCUCUCCUCUAGGGUUUCGCUUCUCUAGAAUUUCGUUUCGAUCCGCUUCUUCGCUCUUCUAGAAUUUCGAUUCGAUUCUCCAUGGCGGAAGCCGAAGCUCCCAUGGUGGCGACCGAAGCGAAGGCGAAGGUGGAGGUGGAGGCGAAGGCGAAGGUGGAGGAGGUGGCGGAGGUGAAGGAGAAGGGGCCUGGCCAUUACCAGAUCGAGCACCCCUACCUGUGCAUCGGCGAGCCUAGGGUUGAGUACGUCCCCUCCUCUCCCACACCCUCCUCCACCGUCGUAGUCGAGAUCACGUGGAGGAGGGCGACGCAGUGCGUCACCACCAUCAACGGCACCUCCACCCUCGACCGCCGCGGCCCCGUCGAAACCCUAGGCUCGUCCUCCUCCUCCUUCGACGUCCCCGCGCUCCUCGCGGCCUCGCCCGACUGCCACGGGGUGACGAACUCCGCGGGGGACGCGUGGUUCGACGUGUUCGCCUCCUUCCCCGCCGCCGCCCACCUCGCCCCCUUCCUCCCCGGCUCCCUCUUCGACGCCCUCUCCUUCCACCUCAACAAGGCCAUCGCCGAGCGACCGCCCCCGCACCUCUCCGACGCCGUCCUCUACAAGCAGGAGCUCACCAUCCUCGACACGCACAUCCACGACGACCGGCUCGUCGC